RNAcentral lists this transfer RNA (75 nucleotides) under Phocicoccus pinnipedialis. RNAcentral describes it as "Jeotgalicoccus pinnipedialis tRNA-Val". It matches the Rfam family "tRNA". Rfam says of the family: Transfer RNA (tRNA) molecules are approximately 80 nucleotides in length. RNAcentral also lists the same sequence under 1 other name. The record is from RNAcentral. Lineage: Bacteria; Bacillati; Bacillota; Bacilli; Caryophanales; Salinicoccaceae.
UGGAGAAUUAGCUCAGCUGGGAGAGCAUCUGCCUUACAAGCAGAGGGUCGGCGGUUCGAUCCCGUCAUUCUCCAU